This 171-nucleotide ribosomal RNA is filed under the name uncultured delta proteobacterium. Its description in RNAcentral is "partial 16S ribosomal RNA". It matches the Rfam family "Bacterial small subunit ribosomal RNA", at positions 359 to 525 of the family's 1533-position model. The record is from RNAcentral. Lineage: Bacteria; Deltaproteobacteria.
CCUGGAGAAUCGGGGCGAAGCCUGACGCAGCGACGCCGCGUGAGGGAUGAAGGUUUUCGGAUCGUAAACCUCUGUCUUAAGGGAAGAAACCGCACCGUGCUAAUCAGCGGUGCAUUGACGGUACCUUCAAAGGAAGCACCGGCUAACUCCGUGCCAGCAGCCGCGGUAAUA